This 117-nucleotide microRNA precursor is filed under the name Camelus bactrianus (Bactrian camel). RNAcentral describes it as "mir-1260b microRNA precursor family". It matches the Rfam family "mir-1260b microRNA precursor family". RNAcentral also lists the same sequence under 2 other names. The record is from Rfam by way of RNAcentral. Lineage: Eukaryota; Metazoa; Chordata; Mammalia; Artiodactyla; Camelidae.
GUGGCUGCUGCUCCCCUUCGAUCCCACUGAUCCCACUGCUGCCACCAUUAUUGCUGCUGUCCAGCAGGUGCUGCUGGUGGUGAUGGUGGUAGUCUGGCGGGGGCGGCGGGGCUGCUU